RNAcentral lists this ribosomal RNA (424 nucleotides) under uncultured bacterium. Its description in RNAcentral is "bacterial SSU rRNA". It matches the Rfam family "Bacterial small subunit ribosomal RNA", at positions 355 to 796 of the family's 1533-position model. The record is from RNAcentral.
UGGGGAAUAUUGGACAAUGGGCGAAAGCCUGAUCCAGCCAUGCCGCGUGAGUGAAGAAGGCCUUAGGGUUGUAAAGCUCUUUCAGCGGGGAAGAUAAUGACGGUACCCGCAGAAGAAGCCCCGGCUAACUUCGUGCCAGCAGCCGCGGUAAUACGAAGGGGGCUAGCGUUGUUCGGAUUUACUGGGCGUAAAGCGCGCGUAGGCGGGUCGCUAAGUCAGGGGUGAAAUGCCGAGGCUCAACCUCGGAACUGCCUUUGAUACUGGCAACCUGGAGUUCGGGAGAGGUGAGUGGAAUUCCGAGUGUAGAGGUGAAAUUCGUAGAUAUUCGGAGGAACACCAGAAGCGAAGGCGGCUCACUGGCCCGAUACUGACGCUGAGGCGCGAAAGCGUGGGGAGCAAACAGGAUUAGAUACCCCCGUAGUCC